Molecule: ribosomal RNA, 159 nt
Filed under: Botryosphaeria dothidea
Lineage: Eukaryota; Fungi; Ascomycota; Dothideomycetes; Botryosphaeriales; Botryosphaeriaceae
Also listed under: 1 other name
Description: 5.8S ribosomal RNA
Rfam family: 5.8S ribosomal RNA
About the family: 5.8S ribosomal RNA (5.8S rRNA) is a component of the large subunit of the eukaryotic ribosome.
Source: RNAcentral
AAACUUUCAAACAACGGAUCUCUUGGUUCUGGCAUCGAUGAAGAACGCAGCGAAAUGCGAUAAGUAAUGUGAAUUGCAGAAUUCAGUGAAUCAUCGAAUCUUUGAACGCACAUUGCGCCCCUUGGUAUUCCGAGGGGCAUGCCUGUUCGAGCGUCAUUU